This 204-nucleotide long non-coding RNA is filed under the name Gossypium barbadense (sea-island cotton). RNAcentral describes it as "long non-coding RNA (GBAR_LNC000578)". The record is from RNAcentral. Lineage: Eukaryota; Viridiplantae; Streptophyta; Magnoliopsida; Malvales; Malvaceae.
UUUUCUACAAUAAUAUCAGUAUUUCAAUUAAAUCGAAAAGUAGUUUUAGAGAACUUACAGGAUCAGUGCAGGAGACUUAGUAAACCACAUAUUUAGAAAUAGCACCUCAAAAUAUUUUUUCACUAUUUGAAACAAUUCUUUUUGAAAUUUAUGUUUUUAGGAAAAACCCAAAUCUAUAGUCGAGUUUUGCAACCUAGCUCUGAU